Long non-coding RNA from Eptesicus fuscus (big brown bat), 543 nucleotides. RefSeq lists it as uncharacterized. The transcript has 3 exons. The record is from RefSeq and is a predicted model, not a curated record. NCBI's taxonomy places the organism in Eukaryota, Metazoa, Chordata, Mammalia, Chiroptera, Vespertilionidae.
GGAAAAAAAGAAACCACGGAUGCCCAGCGUCGCCACUUCGGUGUAACAUGGCUACAGGUCCUGGCCCGCACUUGGAGAAACAGGAAAGGAAAUGAGGGACCCUGCAUGCCAGGACCACUGAAUCCAUCCUGUGGGAAGCUAGCAAGGCUGCCUUCGAGGCCCAUUUCCUCCCCUGCGACCCUCCGUCAACUGCAAACUCCUUCUCUGCGUCCCUGAGCAUCACGGCAGAGCUGCGAUUUUCUGAAGUAGACACCACCUCCCUGAUUAGAGAGGAGGGCACAUGAGGCCACAACGCUGGGUGACUACCCAACGCCCUUUCCCGUCCCAGCCGGGGCCUCCCUGGGAAUGCUGAACCCUGAGUGGAUGUGACAGAGCCCGAGGGAACCUGCCCCCGCCUGACACAGAAAGGUCUCCACUGUCGUUGGUAUAAGGAGGGUUUAGUUGUCACUGUAAAUAUAAAUCAGUCAACUAUUUUCAACACUAAAAAUAAAAUGUCAGCCCGGCUGGUGUGACUCAGUGGUUGAGUGUCGACCUAUAAACCAG